This 467-nucleotide ribosomal RNA is filed under the name uncultured bacterium. Its description in RNAcentral is "partial 16S ribosomal RNA". It matches the Rfam family "Bacterial small subunit ribosomal RNA", at positions 28 to 506 of the family's 1533-position model. The record is from RNAcentral.
GACGAACGCUGGCGGCGUGCUUAACACAUGCAAGUCGAACGGAAAGGCCCUGCUUUUGUGGGGUGCUCGAGUGGCGAACGGGUGAGUAACACGUGAGUAACCUGCCCUUGACUUUGGGAUAACUUCAGGAAACUGGGGCUAAUACCGGAUAGGAGCUCCUGCUGCAUGGUGGGGGUUGGAAAGUUUCGGCGGUUGGAGAUGGACUCGCGGCUUAUCAGCUUGUUGGUGGGGUAGUGGCUUACCAAGGCUUUGACGGGUAGCCGGCCUGAGAGGGUGACCGGCCACAUUGGGACUGAGAUACGGCCCAGACUCCUACGGGAGGCAGCAGUGGGGAAUAUUGCACAAUGGGCGGAAGCCUGAUGCAGCAACGCCGCGUGCGGGAUGACGGCCUUCGGGUUGUAAACCGCUUUCGCCUGUGACGAAGCGUGAGUGACGGUAAUGGGUAAAGAAGCACCGGCUAACUACGU